This 305-nucleotide ribosomal RNA is filed under the name uncultured bacterium. Its description in RNAcentral is "bacterial SSU rRNA". It matches the Rfam family "Bacterial small subunit ribosomal RNA", at positions 338 to 640 of the family's 1533-position model. The record is from RNAcentral.
CCUACGGGGGGCAGCAGUGAGGAAUAUUGGUCAAUGGGCGGAAGCCUGAACCAGCCAAGUAGCGUGCAGGAUGACGGCCCUACGGGUUGUAAACUGCUUUUAUACGGGAAUAACGCGCCUUACGUGUAGGGCUUUGCAUGUACCGUAUGAAUAAGGACCGGCUAAUUCCGUGCCAGCAGCCGCGGUAAUACGGAAGGUCCGGGCGUUAUCCGGAUUUAUUGGGUUUAAAGGGAGCGUAGGCCGCAUGUCAAGCGUGCUGUGAAAUGUCCGGGCUCAACCCGGGCCUUGCAGCGCGAACUGGCGUG